AGUGAACGCUGGCGGUAGGCCUAACACAUGCAAGUCGAACGGCAGCACAGUAAGAGCUUGCUCUUACGGGUGGCGAGUGGCGGACGGGUGAGGAAUACAUCGGAAUCUACUUUUUCGUGGGGGAUAACGUAGGGAAACUUACGCUAAUACCGCAUACGACCUACGGGUGAAAGCAGGGGAUCUUCGGACCUUGCGCGAUUGAAUGAGCCGAUGUCGGAUUAGCUAGUUGGCGGGGUAAAGGCCCACCAAGGCGACGAUCCGUAGCUGGUCUGAGAGGAUGAGCAGCCACACUGGAACUGAGAGACGGUCCAGACUCCUACGGGAGGCAGAAGUGGGGAAUAUUGGACAAUGGGCGCAAGCCUGAUCCAGACAUACAGCGUGGGUGAAGAAGGCCUUCGGGUUGUAAAGCCCUUUUGUUGGGAAAGAAAAGCAGAAGGUGAAUACCCCGCUGUUCUGACGGUACACAAAGAAUAAGCACAGGCUAACUUCGUG
RNAcentral lists this ribosomal RNA (492 nucleotides) under uncultured bacterium. RNAcentral describes it as "partial 16S ribosomal RNA". It matches the Rfam family "Bacterial small subunit ribosomal RNA", at positions 29 to 507 of the family's 1533-position model. The record is from RNAcentral.